GAUGAACGCUGGCGGCGUGCCUAAUACAUGCAAGUCGAGCGAACAGACGAGGAGCUUGCUCCUCUGACGUUAGCGGCGGACGGGUGAGUAACACGUGGAUAACCUACCUAUAAGACUGGGAUAACUUCGGGAAACCGGAGCUAAUACCAGAUAAUAUAUUGAACCGCAUGGUUCAAUAGUGAAAGACGGCUUUGCUGUCACUUAUAGAUGGAUCCGCGCCGCAUUAGCUAGUUGGUAAGGUAACGGCUUACCAAGGCAACGAUGCGUAGCCGACCUGAGAGGGUGAUCGGCCACACUGGAACUGAGACACGGUCCAGACUCCUACGGGAGGCAGCAGUAGGGAAUCUUCCGCAAUGGGCGAAAGCUUGACGGAGCAACGCCGCGUGGGUGAUGAAGGUCUUCGGAUCGUAAAACUCUGUUAUUAGGGAAGAACAAAUGUGUAAGUAACUAUGCACGUCUUGACGGUACCUAAUCAGAAAGCCACGGCUAACUACGUG
This 497-nucleotide ribosomal RNA is filed under the name uncultured bacterium. RNAcentral describes it as "partial 16S ribosomal RNA". It matches the Rfam family "Bacterial small subunit ribosomal RNA", at positions 28 to 507 of the family's 1533-position model. The record is from RNAcentral.